CCAACCGUUGCCAAACUAAAAAUGUGCCUGAGCAAAAACACCACUUAAAGUCAUAAAAUAUUUACUUUAAUGUUGCAGCUUGAUAAGGAUGUAGCACCCUGGACCUUUGAACCCCCGCUCUUUUUUUUUCUGCCGUCAUCACACAGGUUGGGAUGAGCCUUGACCCUGUAAUCCUUGCUUUUGUGGCCUUUGUGUCAAUGACGGCGUUGGCAUCUUUUGUCUUGGUUAUCCGGACAUUCUGCUUCCCACUCGGUGAGACCAACCAUCGAUACCUUUCGCUCAGACAGCUGAAUGAGGAAAGUCCAGCGAUGUCAGCGGAAGCACAAUACAACUCAGAUGAGGAUCUGCUGGAAUAGCAGCCCAAUGACUGCUGGAAGUGACCAUGCCAUGACUGCUAGAGCAUUCUUAAAACACACUGACAAUUUCACCAAACCCCCUUCAACAAGUGUAAAACCUCAAAUCUUUGCAAGGCAUAUUUAUAUUCUCCUCUGUUAUCUUGAUCUUGACAAAAUAAGCCGAGGUGUUCUGUGCGUUUUGGCUAGACGACAACAGCACUGACAAUCCAUGUUACAAAUUGUUCCCGACACAGCUGCACAUGUGAAAAAAAGCCGUUUCUAGCUGAUGCAAUAUCCUCUCACUGGUCAUUUUUGACAUGACACGAAAUAUAAUAAACUUCAAGCAAUGAAUACCAAGAAAUAUGAGAAAAACACCAUUUCACUAGCAACGCAGUAAAGGUCACUAAUUGUCGCAUGUGCAUUUUCAUUUCUAACGGCAGGUUGAAAAUGGCUGUUGAAUAUAUACAACAUUAUCAUGUUAUAAAAUAAGUGGCGUCACAUGGCCAUCUGACAUUUGGGGUGUCUCAAACGCCAUAAUUGACUUCUAAAAAUAAUCCGCUCUGUCUGCGAGUGGGCCGGCUUCCCUUUUUCAAGCCUUAUUUUCCUGCUUACAUUAGCUGACUUGAAAGGACAAGAAAAAACGAUCAAUGUGACUGCAGAGUUUUUCCCAGAAGCCGGAAUACACACGUGCCACAAAAGUAAACUCAUAUUUUAACAUGUAGUAUUCAGUGUGUGUCUAGUUUCUGGUAAUAUUUGAACUUAUACCAAUACCAGUACCAUUUAUGCAUUCAAACUCCGCACAGGAGGUCCUGGGCUCAGGGUCGAACCCAGAACAUGGCUGGGAGGCAAAUGUGGUUACCAAUUGGUCACUGUGCUGCUUCUAAAGACUUUUGAUUGUGUUGUUUUAGUCUUCCCCAAAAACAUAUUUAUUAGAAAAAAAAUCCACUACAGAGCCAAUUCUCUUGCCAAUUGAUGUAAAUAUCCUAAUAGUUUGAAUGUGUUAAUGGCAGUGCAAAGACGCCCUAUGCUGGCCGUGCGCGGUAUUACAUUGCUUGACCUUGUUCAUGUAUAAGAAAAAGUAAACCUCUUCCCUCACUGUUUAAGGCACACUUUAGAUGUAAAAGUUUUAUAUUAUGGGACCUUGUGCUUUAUUGAUUUAAUGGGCUUUUCACCAUUACUAUUGGUGUGUGUUUGUGCUUUACAAAUAUGUUUGUCAUCAAUACAAACAUAAGGGUUUAUCUUGUUUUUUUCAUUGGUCUUCUAGUAGUGACUGUGAAGUCCUUUUAUACCUAACCAUAACAUAUUUUUUAAAACAAAACGUUUGUUUCGAAUUGAAUAUAGGACAAACGAUUUUCAAAUCAUCAAAUUCUAGUUUUAUUUACAUUGCACACAGUGAUUAAACUUCAGUGGAAUUUGAGCUUGUCGGAAGAAUGUCGCCUUUUCACAGAAGAAUGUUGCUUGGUGAGCACAUAGAUUUUUCAUAAUUGUCUUAAAUCAUGAAUAAAAUAAUAAAAGAAAAUAUUAUAUAAUACAAAUAUUGAACGCUUUAGAUACAACCUUCUAUGUAUUUCCAACUUGUCUUCUUAAACCAUCUCGGAUGAAUAACUCCUUUUAGAGAAGCUGGCUUUUUUUUUUUUUUAACACUAGCUGACGCACACCUUCGGAAGGCCAAUAUCAAAAGUCUGAAAAUUGUGGGGAAUUAUUGUGAUAUGUCGAAGAAACAUUCUUCUCAAACUCAGUGUGACAAUUUUCUGUCAAGGUGAGAAUCGUAUUCAUUUUGUACAAGAGUGUAUGAGCGCCACACCAGUGUAAGAGAAACAGCCUUUGUAAUAUUAUGAAUCGGGAAGUCCUAGUAAAUGAAUUACCGCCGAAGGUAUGACAAAGAAAUUAUUCUCACAUUCUUUCAGGCUGUUGUGUUGCUUCUGUCUGGUGACUCUUCGAGUGUAAGAAUAAAGAAUUGCACCUUA
Molecule: long non-coding RNA, 2302 nt
Organism: Syngnathus typhle (broad-nosed pipefish)
Lineage: Eukaryota; Metazoa; Chordata; Actinopteri; Syngnathiformes; Syngnathidae
Exons: 4
Source: RefSeq, a predicted model, not a curated record